This 253-nucleotide ribosomal RNA is filed under the name uncultured bacterium. RNAcentral describes it as "partial 16S ribosomal RNA". It matches the Rfam family "Bacterial small subunit ribosomal RNA", at positions 524 to 776 of the family's 1533-position model. The record is from RNAcentral.
UACGGAGGGUGCAAGCGUUAUCCGGAAUCACUGGGCUUAAAGGGUGCGUAGGCGGGCUCGUAAGUGUCUCGUGAAAGCCCCCGGCUCAACCGGGGAACCGCGAGGCAUACUGCGAGUCUUGAGGAAGCUAGAGGCCGGUAGAACGAUCGGUGGAGCGGUGGAAUGCGUAGAGAUCGAUCGGAAUGCCAAUGGUGAAGACAGCCGGCUGGGGCUUUCCUGACGCUGAGGCACGAAAGCGUGGGGAUCAAACAGG